CAGGUACAGAGGGCAGCUACCCAGCAAUGGGAUGCGAAUCUCGAAAGCCUGUCUCAGUUCGGAUUGGAGGCUGAAACCCGCCUCCAUGAAGUUGGAUUCGCUAGUAAUCGCGCAUCAGCCAUGGCGCGGUGAAUACGUUCCCGGGCCUUGUACACACCGCCCGUCAAGCCAUGGGAGCCGGGGGUACCUGAAGUGCGUAACCGCGAGGAUCGCCCUAGGGUAAAACUGGUGACUGGGGCUAAGUCGUAACAAGGUACC
RNAcentral lists this ribosomal RNA (258 nucleotides) under uncultured bacterium. Its description in RNAcentral is "partial 16S ribosomal RNA". It matches the Rfam family "Bacterial small subunit ribosomal RNA", at positions 1234 to 1500 of the family's 1533-position model. The record is from RNAcentral.